CACCGUUUUGGUCCUAAACCUAAUAUUACUUCCAACUGAUCCUAUACAUGCAAGCCUCCACAAUCCAGUGCAUAUAGCCCACCUAACACGGAGCAGAUAUCAGGCACACAACACGUAGCCCACAACAUCUAGCCAUGCCACACCCCCACGGAACACAGCAGUAACAAACAUUAAGCCAUGAGCCCCAAUAUUUCAAGCUCGACUCAGAUACAGACCCCCUAGAACCGGUAAACUCCGUGCCAGCCACCGCGGUUACACGAAGGGUCCAAAAUAAUACUACACGGCGUAAAACGUGACUAGAAGCAAGUUUUAAGUACGGAACCUCAACUAAGACCCAGCUGUAAAACGCACCUAUCCAAAAGAACAUCCCACACUCCCACCAAAAAUCACCUUUGACCACACGAAACCUAAGAAACAAACUAGGAUUAGAUACCCUACUAUGCUUAGACAUAAACCCAGGCAGAACACCUACUACACUGCCCGCCAGAGAAUUACACGCCCCCCAGCGUAAAACUCAAAGGACUUGACGGUGUCCCAUAUCGACCUAGAGGAGCCUGUCCUAUAAUCGAUGAUCCACGAUACACCUCACCCCCCAUUGCACCCUCUCAACCUAUAUACCGCCGUCGCCAGCCUACCUUCUGAAAGCCAAACAACAGUAAGCACAAUAGCUCAUCACUAACACGUCAGGUCAAGGUGUAGUUAAUUGCGGGGCAGAGAUGGGCUACAUUUCCUAAUUUAGGAGACCAUAAGCAACAUGAAACAUCGGCCAAAAGACGGAUUUAGCAGUAAACUGGGCAAGAUCGCCCAAUUGAAGGCCGCCCUGGGACGCGUACACACCGCCCGUCACCCUCCUCAACCAAACCAACCAAAUCUACCUAAACCCCCAUUAUUAGACCCAGAUGAGGCAAGUCGUAACAUGGUAAGUGUACUGGAAAGUGCACUUGGCACAAC
Non-coding RNA from Gekko japonicus, 951 nucleotides. Lineage: Eukaryota; Metazoa; Chordata; Lepidosauria; Squamata; Gekkonidae. The record is from the annotation of a RefSeq genome assembly.